Lagopus muta (rock ptarmigan) is the source of this 13233-nucleotide long non-coding RNA. RefSeq lists it as uncharacterized. NCBI's taxonomy places the organism in Eukaryota, Metazoa, Chordata, Aves, Galliformes, Phasianidae. The record is from RefSeq and is a predicted model, not a curated record. The transcript has 3 exons.
CCCACCUUUCACCUGCUUGGCUGCAAACACUCAGUCCCCCAUAUGUGCAUGCAUUGCCCCACCAGCCAGCAGCUGGUCCAGCCCCAGCUACCUUUUGUCUUUCUGUUUUAAAUCUCAGUCUGUUUUUGAGGAUGAAAAAUUAUCCUCUGCUUCAAUUUCCUCUUGCUGGUGCUGGAAUUAAUUGUUAGUUGCAUUCCUUGUGGGGAAUGUAAUGAAAAUAUGACUAUAAUAUACUUAUAGUGUGAUUUGUGGUUACCAGUGGAAAUAUUUAAUGAUCUUUUUGUACACAUGGAAUAAUUGCUUCUUCUGUAUCACAAUAAUGGACUGCAAUACAAUUACACUCUUGUUCUUCUUCGUAUAAGAAAUAAGCACAUGAGUGGAACAGAAUCUGAAAAGCAGAAUGCCCCUCAUAUCUCUCCAAUAUCCAUCUGCUCACUGGAGAUUCUGCACUCUUUUGAAUAACACAGACUCUUAUAAUCAACGUGAUUGUGCAGCUUUAAGAUAAACAAUUCAUAAGAUAGCUAAAGUUCAUUUUCAUAACAAAACUAGGCAUUAAGGAGUCAUUCCUGAGGCUUUCCCUAAAGGUAAAGGCUCAGAGGAAUGCAAUACAUUGCAGAUAAAUCCUCCUCAUAUAAAGCAAUAUAUCCUCAGUUGCACGGAGAUGAGCAACACUCACUUUCUCUAACAAACUUCUGCUGUGAGCUGCCUCUGAACAAGGUGUUCCUGCCUUAUGAGAGCUCAUUGCCCAUAUGUUAAACCACAGACUUUUCAUUUUUUCAUUUGGCAGGAGAAGGAAGGGGUUAAAAGGCAAGGAGCAAUCAUGUGCUGGCUUUAGGAAAAAGCAAGUUGUGCAGAAAGUUGAUGAGAAGUGAAAAUCGCUGAGGAAGUGAUUUUUUAGGGAAGGAAAUGUGAUGUUUGCAGACAGGAGCACUCAGUCUCCUUCUCCUGCUGUGGAGUGUGGGUGAGAGCAGUCCCAUGGGCGGGCCUGGUAGGGCUGGAGAUGUUAUUCUGUGCCACAGAGAUGGAAAAAGGAUCAGAGAAAGGGUCCCAGGUGUAGAAAGGAAGGACGGAAUGCGCCCCAAUGUUGGAUUCCUUGGCACAACAUUUGCUAGUGCAACCCUACUGAGCUGCCAAGCACCAUGACUUGCACGUAUGUCACCCCUCUGGCACAAUUACAGCUGUGUGACUCAUUCUAAGGCAUCCUCAGAGCAAGGAUUGUGGAGAACACUUCUUCAAUUUGGGGAAUGGCUGAAGAUAGAAUGGAGUGCAGUUAGCACAUCAAUUAAAAAGCAGCUGGCAACACACAGUACAACAAACAGAGGGUAAGUUAAGCUGUCACCUUACAGUAAGCUGGUGGUCAGAGAGCCCUUUGAUGCCAACCUUCCACCCUUUCAGCGUUUGGUGAGAGCGAUGUAUCAGCCAUGAGGCGUUUGCACUGCCCUGCUGCUGGGACCCAUCACUCUAACAGGUUUAGUGGCCGACAUUUUUGUGUUGCUAUGUUGCUGUGAUGCAUUGCUUUAUGACUUUUAAGCUGCAGUUGUGCAUUUCUUCAUAAAAUAUUGACUUCAAGCCUGGGACAGUUCUCUUAAAACAGGAGAUGUGGAUGCUGCCUCAGCCUGCCUUGUGCCAUUCAGCACUGGCUGGAUCUGGGCAAGCAGGCAGUGCUGCAAACCAGGAGCAGCAGUGCUUUGUUCCCAUCCCACGCUGGUACAAGUGACUAUGUAGGUCAGUGAGCAGGGAUGAAUCAUGUCAUGUGGCCUGUACAAAUGCAGAACCAUGUUCUUUGUGUAGAGACACAUGCGGAUUCCUAGGGAGAGCUGCUGGGGGCUGGGGCUCACAGGGUGUUCUCCAUCUAAGUGCAUAGCAUGAAGAGAGUUGCAGAAUGGUUUGGUUGGAUGGGACCUCAAUGCCCAUCCAGUGCCAACCCCUGUUUUGGGCAAGGCUGCCUCUCCACAGAAUACAUUGCCCAAAACCCCCUCUGGCCUAGCCUGAUGUGUGGCCCUACGAGUCUCUUGCCAGGGGCAGAUAGAAAGCAGGAUCUGCUCCCAAACAACAUAAGCACUCUUCUUAAGUGCUUUUUCCCUGUUAAUUGCUUUAUAACCAGUUAUGAUUACCCAGUAAUGAUUCCUGGGUCUAAUGAUAGGAAGUAUUCAUUAGCACAUGGGCAAGGGAGCAGUUCCCCAGAGCACAUGCAUUUAGCAAAGGGGAAUAUUUGAGACUUGCAAGUUUCCAGAACAGGAAACUGAAAUUUUAGGAUCUAAUACAGCAACCAAUUCUCCAUUACCAUCAGCUGCCACAGUCUAGAGGAAGACACAGAGGGAAUCAAGUAUGCAUAAUGCAAACUCACAUAAUUAUAACACUAUCAACCUGACUUUAGCCACUUGGCUUGGAAACAAUUGCCCCCAAAUAUUGGCCUUUGACUGUAGAAAAGAAAUACUCUCGGGAGAAACUUUCAUUUAGAUAGCAAAUUAGAGGCAUAAAUUAAAAAAGAAAAGCAAAUCACUUAGAAAGUAGCUACCCCUGGUGUAAUGCAACGAAUAUCAGCAAGCUCUGCUUCAGGGCUGAGAAUGCUGUGUGCUAAAUCAGCAUCAAAAUGGAGCAUGGGGGGCUACUGUCGUGUUGAUGGUUUUCCUAGAAUGAUCUAAGUCUAAAACCUCUGAAAUUAACAGUCAAAUAAACAGAAAAGGGCACAGAAGGUGCUUCCAAUCUGUUCUUAAAACACAAAAUCGAAGUCAUGCCUUUAAGCACGCCCUUCCUCCCGUGUGAUGCUGGCCAGACAGAUGGACUUACACUGCACUUCCAGAUCAAUGCAUUUAAAGAGUCCAAAAUCAGGAGGUUUUACAAAAAAGUAGCCAGCCUCUGCCUGACCUCAACAACUAAGUGUUGUCCAGUUGUCUGUAGCUCAAGCAUUGCGAGCACCUUUUCUAGUCCAAGUAACAGGAGGAUGAUUUGUGGGACUGCAGGCAAUUAUUCCAGUCUUCAGUUUCAAGAUGCUGUUGACUUUUACCUCUGACACACUGGAAAGAUUGAAGUGUUUCACAAUAGCAGCGUCCCAGGAAAACAUUUCUCAGUCAGACUGAUGGGGACACCCAUUCCAAGAGGAGAAGAUGUUCAAUUGUGUAAAUGCAGAGAAAAUGAGGAAAAGAAAGGUAUUGUCUGCCAUUAUUAUUAGCUGAAGACCCAGAAGAAUUUCUGCAGAUGGCAGAUAGCAUUGCCAGUUUCCAGAACCUAGUGGCUUUUCUUCAGAUUUGUUUUGUCUUCGGGGAAACGUGCAACAUUUAGCAAUUAGAUGUUGAUCCAACUAUGAAACAAGGUCAAGGGAAUCUUUUACAGUAUUACAGCUAUUUUUUCUCCCUAACAAACUGAUUUUAGAGAGUAUGUCUGUGCGCCUUGUGCUGUGGCAACAGUGGGGGAAAAAGUUUAUCACUGCAAAGUUCACAGCUUAAAAUGCAGAAAAAGCCUUUACCAGAUCCCAGAGAAAUAGGGGAUGUGGAUAACGGUGGGGCUUCCCAGAGAGCCCAGGCAGUAGGGGAGAGGUGCUGCUCUUGCUUCAUGAAUUCCUAAUAAUUUCACUGGGAUUCUGCAGAUAAACUUCCUGCUUGAGUUCAUCCUCCCAAAGACAGAAGGCUGCUGGUGGUGAUACUCUGCAACUUAGGGAUGUUUUUGUUACGCCUUACUCCUGCAUGGUUUCAUAGAUUAGGCAGUACAGUCAGUGACUGAGAGCUCUUCUUUUACACUGCUACUUCAUUUCAUAUAAUCUCACUUAGAAUCAUAGAAUCAUGGAGUAGGAAAAGACCACUAAGAUCACCCAGUCCAACCAUCGACCCAUCCCCACCAUGCCACUAAACCACGUCCCUCAGUGCCACAUCUCCAUUGUUCUGGAGUACACCCAGGGUUGGGGACUCCACCACCUCCCUGGCAGCCUGUGCCACUGCAUCACCACUCUUUGGCAGAAUAAAUUGUUCCUAAUAUCCAGCCUGGACCUCCCCUGAAGCAACUUGAGGCCAUUACCUCUUGUCACACUCGACCAUUCUUCUUUCCUUUGCACAACAAUAAUAAUAGUAGUAUAAUGAUAGUAAUAAUAAUAAUAAUAAAAAAUCCCAUUUCCCUGCUGUCAAGAAGGAUGCAAGACUUAAACAUAUGUCCACCACACUGCAAUAAAAAUUGAUUUGAACUGAGCUGAAAGCCGAUAAGUAAUAAGGAUUUGUUGGCUUGCAUCGGUUUUUGUCUGACAGCAACAGAAGAUAGCAUCAAGCAGCAUGUGCUGAAAUACACUGUUACAAACUGCAUUGGAGGAAAAAUGAAGUGGUGGUCAGUGAGGGUGCACCUAGGACCCUGCAGAUUGGGAUGGGGCUGGGAUGCCUGCAGGGCAGGGAUGGAAAGGAAGGGUGGAAACGGAGAGAAACUGAGAGCUGAGGAGAAAGGUGAACUUCUGCCUACAUCUCCAGCCUCCUGCCCACGCACUGGGAGCCCUGCAGAACCACAAGGCAUGUUGGCAUGGGCAAAGCCCAAGGAUUUGAACCGAGGAACCAUAUUCUGUUGUCAGCAGCUUUUCUUUGGACUCAGGAACUCCGCAGUGAGUUUUGCAAUCUGAUUCUGCAGGGAGAAGCUCACUUUGGUAGGUCAGGGGUGGGCUCCUCAAGGGCCUGAAGAUGUCACAUCAUGCCAUGUCCAACACUGCUGAAGUCCACAUCUGGAUCAGGUUUUAGCUCCCACAGAAGAUAAAAAAACAGUAAACGCUUUGAGCUCUGCAGUCACAGAUUUCUUCCCCCCCUGUUACCACAACAUAAGGCACAUUUGCAUGUUCUCUAAAACUAGGUAUUUAGGAAUUAGAGAGAAAAAAAAAACAAAAUAGAAAGGAAAACCCCAUGAUCUCCCCAGUGCUGUGGUGAUGUUCUGAGCCCAGCACAUAUGAUAACAAUGCAUAUCUUCCAGUCAACUUGUUCUCUCUCCCCGUGCCCACACUGCGUCCAAGGGGAAUGUCCUGUAUGUGGUGGAUGAGUGCUCUAUGGUCCCAUAUGUGUGCUGGAUUGGGCUACAUCUCAUCUAUGCAGCUGGAUGGGAGCUGCAUUUAUGGAAGCUUCUCCAUCCUCUUCCCACAGGAAGCAGGGACAACAGCUGUGGCAAAAGGGUAAAGCCAUGUUAAUCUUGGGUUUAUGAUUGCUUUUUAUUUUCUGUUCUCUCUGCACACCAAAGCUCAUAAAAAUGCUAUGGGAAUCCGUGUAUUAUCUUGGAAAUGGAGUGUUGGAUCAACCCCUGAAUUGUCUUAUUGUGUUCAAGACCAUGGCCAACAAACCAAUGGCUUCCUCAGCGCUCAGCUGCUGUCAUUCCUGUGAUCACAGCCUGCAUCAUCCUGUCCUUGGAUUUAUCUCAUUGCUCCCCAGCUGUGCUGUGUGUGGCUGUGUCCCAUCACACUUGUUCUUUGUGGAGCAACCUCCUGGGAGCCUUCCUUAUGUACAUCUUGGGGAACCACCAGACUACCGCUGCCCAGAGGUAGACUUUCUGGUGGAACAGCGUAGAACAAUACAAUCACUAAAUCAUUAAGUCUGAAAAAGAUCUCUAAGAUUAUCUAGUCCAACCAUCAGCCCAUUGCCACCAUGCCCAUUAUCCAUGUCCCUCAGUGCCACCACGUCCUUGGGCAGCAUAUUCUAGUGCAUUACCACUCUUCCAGAGAAGAGUUUUUUCCUAAUAUCCAAAUGGAACCUCCCCAGAUGCAACUUAAGGCCAUUACUUCUUAUUCUAGUUUGUUGAACACUUUUUUUUUUUUUAAACACUUUAAAAACACUUCUGUGAAGAUCUGAGUUAUCUUUUGUGGUCUGUUGGAGCCCUCUGCCUUGGUUUUGCUCGUUCCCAUGUUUGCUUCAUUUUUGCAGUUGGACAUACAUCAGUUUAUUAACAAACUCAUAUGGACAACUUAGCAUUCAGGAGCUGAUGUUGCUGAUUCUUUCCUAAUUUUUACAAAAGUAGCCAAUGUGGUUUUGUAAUCUUAAGCAUCUGUUCCAGAUGGCUUGGCUGGCUCAGUUAAUACUAUAUUACAAAUGUGUGUAGUGUUUUUUCUAAUGUACAGAGACUUGAUCAACUGGAGUCAUGGCAAAAAAUCUCAGCACAGAAAUGCCUUAGGAGCAUAUUCUCUUUUAAAGCAAAUGUAAUAUGGACUAAUAUUGAUGAGACUGCUCUGUACCAAUGAAGGUCAGGAGAAGGAUUUUGUGCUGGCAGCAGUGAUGCGCUCGGGAAGACAAGGAAGCUGUCAGACAAACUGUGUUCUAAAAGGUGCUGGUUACCAAGUGGAAUUUCACCAGUUUGGGCAAGUGUUGGGCUGGGCUCCUCCAGGACACAGUCUUGCAGUGUGGCCCAAGUAUUUUCUUUUUGCCUUUCCAGAGUGAAGUGUUUGGUUUUUUUUUUCUGGGUGAGUUCCCAUUUCAGCUCUUAACAAUUUCAAGUGGCACAAAGCAAAGUGUCAAAUAAAACUGGAAUGUUUCUGUGCGUCACAGUCCAAAUUUUGAAUAACAAACUCCAACACAAAAACCUUACCCCAUCUCAGCAUCCUCGCCCCAGCUCAACGUCCUCACCCCAUCUCAGCAUCCUCAUCCAGACUCAGUAUCCUCACCCCAGUGUGCCCACAGCCAUCACUGCUCCCGCUGGGAGCUGGAAGCUGCUCCGUGCUGCCUGCUCAUUUGUCCUAUUCUCUGGGCUUGGCAGGUGGCAUUUUUGCUCAGUGAUUCAUUCCCUGGCAUAUGCAUUUAUCUGGGCUGACAUUUUAAUCAUGCAAAUAAGGAUCUCCUUAAUGAAGAAAAAAAUUAAUUUCACAACUGUUGCUACAAACACAGUGACAGUCCUGCUAAUGUCAUUACAUUCAUAAUACAAUCAGUGGCUUUUCCAUAAUUACUAUAAACUGGUGCACUUAGCAGCAGAGUAAAGGUUACACAAAGAGCUGCACGACUCCUCUUGUUCACUCUGGUUUUAUCAAGAAUGUUUGGCACUCCUCUUAUGCCCCUUUGAAAUCUUUUGGUUAUCGCUGCCUCAUUGCUUGUACUGCAGAUGGCUUUGCCUUUGUCGGAGGCACAGACAAAAUAAGUGGCACAGAGACAACUCCUCCAUGACCUUUAUUGCUCCUUGUCUUUCAGAUCCCAGCGUGCAGAGUAAACAAGGUGACUCAUUCUCUUCUGGUAAAUAGCUGCCUCCCAAGGUUUUGCUGCUGACAGGAUUUUUUGUUUUUUUAACUGCACCCAAAGAGCAGAGGGAUGUGAGCUAUGAACCACAUAGGUAAACUCUGCCUCUGAGUCCUUAUAGGCUCAGUAGCCAUAAGGAGAAAAAGCAUUUUAUAGUCAAAAAGCAGUGAGGAUAAAUGAUUUCCUAAUGGGAAAGUGCCUUCUCUCUUCCCUUUUUCCUUAGAGAUGCUGUGGGUGAGACCUUAAUCCCAGAGACUGGAGGGAUUGGAACCAAUUGCAAACAGUGUCCAUCAGCCUCAAGUGUUUUAGGGCUGGGAUUUCACCUUCUUGUUUGAAAACUUAUUCCAAAAUCAAGCUAUCGCUGUUAAGAUUGGGGCCACUUUUCACAGACAUUUGAGGUUGUUCCUUUAAGGUACAGUAUCUAAAAGGGGGCAAUAAGAAAGAAGGGGACAGACUCUUUAGCAGGGUCUGUUGUGGUAGGACAAGGGGAAAUGGUUUCAAAUUAUUAAAAGGGAGACUUAGAUUGGAUAUAAGGAAAAUGUUUUUUAUGAAAAGGGUGGUGAAACAGUGGAACAGGUUGCCCAGAGAGACUGUGGGUGUCCCAUCCAUGGAGACAUUCAAGGUCAGGCUGGAUGGUGUUCUGAGCACCUGGUGGAGCUGUAGGUGUGUCCCUGUUCAUCGCAGGGGAGUUAGACUAGAUGACCUUUAAAGGUUCCUUCCAACUCAAAAGAUUCUAUGACACUGUUUUAUGACACUUCACAUGGUAAUGUCAGCCUUUCUCUUUCAUUUUCACCAGAAUGGGAAGAGUUCUCCUGGUGGCAGAAAUGCAGGAUAUACAUUGUUCAUCUGGCAGAGCUGUCAGGGACUGCAAGUUUGCUGCAAGACCUUUGGAAUUUCACAACAGCAAAAGAAAAAAUCACAGAAUGGCCAGGGUUGGAAGGGACCUCAAGGAUCAUGAAUCUCCAACUCCCUGCCACAUGCAGGGCCACCAACCUCCCCAUUUAACACCAGACCAGGCUGCCCAAGGCCCCAUCCAACCUGGCCUUGAACACCUCCAGGGACAGAGCAUCCACAGCUCCCUGGGCAGCUGUUCCAGCACCUCACCACUCUCUCUGUAAAGAACUUCUCCAUUGUUUAAGGAAAAACAGCAUUGAGCUAUUUACACAUGUGUUGAAGUAUGUACAUCAUGCUGACAAGACAAUGGACUGGAUCCUGGAGAAGAUGGAUUCCUGAAAACUGGAGAGAAUUCAUGGAGCCAUUAGUGAAUCUGUAGGUAAUACAAGUGUUUCAAGUGAGACUCAGAAAUUACGUAGGUGUCCAAAUCCAAAACCGUGAUUCUGACUGCCCUCCUCAGCAUUUGGGUAAAGAGCAUUUUUGUGUCUUCUAAAGUUGUUUACUAUUUUACUUUAAACCUCGCUGUCCUGAGGUGAGAACAGGAGAAUGACUGUUGGGCAAAGCAUCACCCAGGCCUGUAUCCCAUCUCCAGUGCUGGCCAACAGCAAAUGCCUGAGAGAGCAGGACAAGUGGUGAUAUUUCCCAAAAAACACCUUGCUAUGACUCUGGACCUUCCUAAGCUGAAGGAGUGAUUUUGUGCCAAAUGACCUGUAUGGGAUUCUUCUGCCACACUUGUGUCUGCUGGCCCUUGGGAACGCCUGGUACCCACCUCAUCCUCUGACCAACCCCAGCUUAAUAACCUGCUGCACAAAUAAUGACCUUCUCAUACCCUGCUGUCUGCUCAUGCACACCCCUGCCGUGGGUUACCACUCAUCACUGACCUCAGCCUGGACAUGCAACAUUGACUGCAACCCUCUGGCUACAACCACCCAACCAAUUCUUUGUCUGCCUUGCACAAGUCCAGAUAAACAACAUCAGCUGCCCUUCCUUUGUCCACCAAUGCCAUCACUCCAUCAUAGAAGGCGUGUCAGAAGUGGGAACAUCUAACAUCAGCAGGAUGGGGCUUUUCACAACAUCUCUAAGCGAUUCCUUUUGCAAUGUGUCUGAUAAAGGAACUAGCAGUUGUGCAACAUCUUGCUGAUUGAUGAGCAGAGCAGAGCAGAACAUGGAACAUAUCACAUGGGGUGUUGCCCUUCUGUAUCUUGUUUUAUGAUAAGGAACAAUCUGCGUAGUUCUACAGAAAGCCAAACGUGCUUAUCUUUGGGGUGAUGCUCAAGGCUGUGCAUCUUGAAUCAGGUUCUGUGUCAGGUUCUGGAUCUUGCUGCACAGAUAGCUAUGUAUUCACGCAGAACAUGCACAGAGUACAAUUAAUUUUCUUUUUUUAUUUACUCAUAUCAUUAUCAAAAUACCUCAGAACCUCUGUCAAAAACACAGAGUUUGUAGUUCUUGCUGCUGCAUAUACAGAGAUGACGUAAUUUGCCAGCAGCUUGUGGUUUCAGAUUAAGAAGAACUGAUAUGCAGAUGAGCAAAUACAAAGAAACAGCUUUAGCAAAUGCCUAGGUAAAACAGAGCCAGAGACUACUUACAAAUGCUGCCCUCCUCCCCAUGCAGAAGAACCCUCCACUCCACUUCAUUUGCAGAGCCAGCUGAAGUUGCUAAGAAACAAUGCUCUUACCCAGCAUGUGCCUUGCUCAGAGCACCAUCAGUGAGGACAAGGUGAUGACAGCUUUGACAUGCAAUAUUCGCAGCUGUGGUGCAGAAGGAAUGCAGUGUUGACACCCAAGAGAGCUCGUGGCUCACCAUGCUGGGAUGAAUCCUGGCCUGCCCACAGACCUGAAGCACAUGGGAAGAUGCUGUGCUCCCUUCUGCUUUCUUAUUCCAUGCUGCUGCAAUGGCCACAUCUCCCACUUGUAAUGCUAAGACCUUCCCUUAAGGGUAGCACAAAACAACAAGUUCCUCUACACUCACUUCCAUUCCCUUCUUGCCUUUCCGUUCCUCUGCUUCUCCAAAGAAAACUGCAAGUCUUCACAUUCCUUCAUGAGACAUCAGUCACCCCAUGGUGACUGAUCAUUAGGUGACCUCAUCAUUAGACUUUGUUUUCAAUCUGUGCUGCCUCUGAUCCAAGGCUGUAAGUUGAUGUUAGACACCUGGAACUAUGGUCAAGCAAGGAGCCUGGAGCUGCCAACCAAAAACAAUGAAUUUUAUUACGGCGUGUGACCACUUACUGAUGGUCCCCUCCAGCAAAGUCCUGUUUUUUUUUUCUUUCCCACCUGUAUUUUGGGUUGAUCCUAAUGCUAUCCUGAAGCCCCAAACCAAUAGGCAUUUGUCCUGGAAAUGUCAGUGUUCAGUGUCUUUGCUCUCUGUAAUAACUGUGACCUGUGCAUAGCUCUGAAGUCAGAUCUCCUCCCAUAGGAUGUAGAGAAUCUUCACUUCAUCCCUUGACAGGGUACCCAAUGGUGGCAAUCCCAUAAAUCCUUCCUUCAUCCUCCAGGAAGGGACCCUACUGCCAAAUGAAAAACCUGCGGUGAGGUGUCACAUAUGGGCGUCUCCAUGGGAGUCGUAGCUCCUGUUUCUGUCAAUAGAUUCAAUCAACAGAGCAAUGUGUGUGCUGGCUUGCUUCAGAGUGGACUGCAAUGCUCCCCAGAGCCCACUGACUCCAGACAGUGCUGACAUGUAAGUUUAGGUGUCUUAAUUUGCAGUGUGAAUCAUAUCCACAGCAGCGCUUCUGCUGUGAUCUUCUGGCCGUAGUUAUUCAUCCUCGCCCACCUGCUAGAUAAAACAGCAGUGUUUUUGUAGAUUUAAAUAUAUGCUGGUAGAUUCUCAGUUGUUUAUUUUAAAUAAUACAUUACAUCCAGAUCUGGAGCGAUUCUAAGCUAGCAAGUAUCCCUCUAAAUCAAGUGGCACUUCCUGGAUAUCUUUAAACACCCAGAAGUGCCAGGCCAUGACAGAAGAUAAAGAUAAGCUACAAACUUUUUCUGGUGAGCUGCAGCACUGUGGUCUCCAGCAGCUGAGCUUACCAUGGGCUGACCCCUUUCUCAUCAUGAUUUGCUCUUGUGCUUGUUCUUCAUUAACAUCUUUCGUAAACCUUUUGAUUUGUUGAAAGCGAUCAUUUGUUUUCAGGCUGGGAGCACUGCUAGAUGUGGCCAAUAGUGGAGCAGUGCUUCAGAGCUCUUCUAACUUGCAAAGUCCAGAUGAUGGAUGUAAUCAGCAGCACCCCACAAGACUGUAGGGGUACUCAGGUGCCUUCCAUCCACCUGAAAGGAACAGCUGGAAUGAAGGGGCUAUUUUAAAUCAGGCCUUCCAAUGCUCUUUGUUCUUCUUUCAGUGGUGCUGUUCUGCACAGGGCAUGGCCAGUGAGCAGGGUAGGUGGCUGGACCAGACAGCUGGUGUAAUACUGUAUCUUUCAUGGGCUGACAGUAUUUUCACAGCCUUGCUGAAGGUGGAGGGAGAUAGUUUGUCAUUUCUGUGACUACUUCUGGAGCUGACGAGGAGAUUAACCUGUAACAAAGCUUUGUUUUGAUGGACCAAUACUGUGGUUAAAUAAAUCUAUUGCAAGUUGCUUGGGCUGAUGAAGUUGCCUUGUGAUUAGAUUAACUGCUGAUUAGAUUUUGAUGGGACCUGGAAAGAGUGUGAGUUGUAGGGUGCAUUUUAAAAACACUGUGCAAGGAAUUAAUUCUCUGUUCUCACUCUUCUAUUCUGUUCUAUCCUAGCCCUUAAUUCUCUAUUCUUUGCUUUAAAAACCUGCCCUAAUGACUGCAUAGUGAAUUGAUUAACAGGCUAAUGCUUAUUCUUAUUCACAUAAAGAGUGGUACUGUGUUGGUUUUCUCAACAUGAGGAGACAACCGCACCCUUGCAGGGUGUGUGUACAAGUCUUAAGGCAUGCUUUACCUGCCAGGUGAGCCUGCAAACCUCAUCUGACAGAUAACAGCAUCAGCAGUACCAGUGAAAAGAGACAAAAUGGCCAAAGUACGAAGAAAUGAUGGGCACAAACAUUCAGCAGCUCUGCGGUCUUGUGUGGGAGGAAAUCUUCCAGAGGGCUGAAGCUGUGUGAGUGACAUAUACAUGACACAAGCAGUCUUAAAAUCAGCUUUUCUGGUCCAGAAGACCAGAGUGGCUGGGUUUGCUCUCAGAAAGUGUUGCUGCAUUGUAGGAGUGGUUUCACAUAGAUGCAUGGGAGGAUGGACCUUGGGGAACACAGAAGCAGAGGCCAGCUGCAGCACUGAAAUCUGAUGCAGCAGUUAAUAAAUCAGUAACUUUCUCCACCAGUGACUAGAACACCAAGGUGGAGAUAGGGCCAAGGCAGAGCUUUCCUACCCUCAAUCCCACACCCUCUUCUGUUUCCCCUGCCUACAUCAAAGGGAGCAAAACUUGGUUUCUCUCUAGCUCAGCCUGGCUCCAUCCCUUGCAGCCUUGGCUGCAUCCCAGCAGGACGAGCAUUGCACUGUCUGCAUAAGAACCAGAGGCUGGAUGGAAGGCACGAGCGAUUCCCUUUCAUCAAAUGAUGAAUGGUGGCUGUCACUGCCUCCAUCGAUAGCAGCUCUCUGUAGCUGUCAGACAUGCACCAUUUUGUAAACCUGAUCGUGUUUACAUUAGCAGUGUUUUAUGAGCCUCAUCACAUUGCAAUGUAAAUAUUUCUGCAGCAGCUGCUCCCUGAGGAGUGACGUGGUGGGUUGGUGGUGAACAAACACCAGCCACAGACUUCAGUACAUGCACAUCCUCCAGGAAGGAGCCAGAAAACACAAGUGCACCAGAAAUUAGAUGAAGAAGCUUGAAGUCUUUGGUAAGAAAUUUCAGCCAUCUCGAAUGUUAGAAUAGGCAGAGGUUUCAUACUAGUCUAUCUUUUCUCUUAUGAAAAUAGCACGUCACUUAGAAAAGGAGGCUGGCCAUCUGGCUAUGAGAUUUUGUCUGAGACGCUUCACUUGCAUGUUGAUCAUGAAGCACUGAGCUUGUGUCACCUGCUGUACAGGUAUGACUAUCCUGCUAUGACAUAUUCGACUUCCACUGCAAUUAGUUUUUGCACGCACCUCUCCUUUGGGUGUGACGGUGGGGUUUGUAAUGGGGAGCAGCCUUGGUACAGACACUCUCUGGUGUCCUCUCCAGCACGAUGCUGGCACACCAAGGGAAAAAGCAAAAUGAGCAUUCAGAGCAAAUCCUAGUUUGGCCAUCAUGA